UAUUCUGCCCUACGGGGAAGGAUGAGAAGCUUCGACUAAGGUUCGACUCGAGCGUAGCGAGAGAACGUUGCCGCAGGCAACGGCCCGAAGGGCGAGGCGCUUUAGCGCCGAGUUAUCCUUCCCCCACCACUG
This 132-nucleotide small RNA is filed under the name Klebsiella quasipneumoniae subsp. similipneumoniae. RNAcentral's name for it is "RtT sRNA". It matches the Rfam family "RtT RNA". Rfam says of the family: This family represents a bacterial cis-regulatory element known as RtT RNA. The exact function of RtT is unknown although it is thought that it may be involved in changing the cellular response in relation to amino acid starvation. RNAcentral also lists the same sequence under 1 other name. Lineage: Bacteria; Pseudomonadati; Pseudomonadota; Gammaproteobacteria; Enterobacterales; Enterobacteriaceae. The record is from RNAcentral.